UGAGGACAAUGUUCUCAAUCAGUCUACAUUACAGAUUUAAGCCAGCCUUCUGACCAUAAGUGGGAGUUAUAAACAAGCCCAAUUUUUUUUUAAGAGUUACAUUCCGCAGUGAGUAAUCUAAUUACAUAACCACAUGCAUGAAAAGUAUCCGUUCCUGUUCUUAAGUAUCUGUUCCUGGACACUCCUUGGAAUUCAGAGUAUGAAAAGGAAGUCUUGAAAAACUUUUGAUCAACAGGCUCAUGAUCUCAAGCUUUGUUUAACCGGAGAAAAGGAACAUGGACAACAUUUGGAUAGAUAAUAAUAAUGUUUAACUGAGUCAGUGUGAACUGAAAGUGCAUCUAUGCAAUAACUAGUCGAGUUUUACUAAAGAGCACUAUCCUACGAACCCUAUCCAGUGUGAGGACAAUGCAGAGGCCAAUUCAUAUGUAGUAGUUUAUGAAACUGACAGCUACCAUUACUCACAAGAUGCACUGGUUUCAUUGCAGUGUGAGGAUGACCAAUUUGGUUUCAAUGCGGUCGUGGUCAUCGAAGAGGUGUCUUUUCCUUUACGGAGAUGUACUCCAUUUCUAAGCUAUAACAGACCAAACAACCUUGCAGAAGCAGACAGAGGUCUGUCUGGAAAUAAUGGAGAAAUGUUGGAUCUGGUGGCAGUAAAUGAACAAUAUUUUCCAAACUUCACUCCAAGACCAUCUGACCAUGUGCAUCUACCUCAUACAUAUCCUAGUGUGAACAACUACCUCACUCAAGAAAUAUUGGAUCUGGUGGCAGUAGAAGAACAAUAUUUUCCAAACUUCACUCCAAGACCAUUUGACCAUGUGCAUCUACCUCAUACAUAUCCUAGUGUGAACAACUACAUCACUCAAGAUAUGGAGCCCUCAGGACUGAUCGAGCGUUGGUAUGAAGAACUGAACAUGGUGGACGAUGACAAACAGGAUCGGGAGGAAGAAUGAAUUAAAGUGGAGUGAUGUUGCUUGAGCAUCAGCAUACCUGAACAACACAGACAGCAAAAUUAUGUUCAUCAGCAAAGAAAGGGGGUCAGGAAGUGGUGGUUGUCACACAACAGCGUGCUGAUGUCACGCAGGACAUCAUGUUAAACGUUUUACCAUAUCAAACACAUACUAUAGCCUUCCUAUUUUCUUUGCUUCCUGCUCCUGUGUUGUUUGUAACAUUCCUGUAAAUAAU
Molecule: long non-coding RNA, 1182 nt
Organism: Coregonus clupeaformis (lake whitefish)
Lineage: Eukaryota; Metazoa; Chordata; Actinopteri; Salmoniformes; Salmonidae
Exons: 7
Source: RefSeq, a predicted model, not a curated record